UACGGAGGGUGCAAGCGUUAUCCGGAUUUACUGGGUUUAAAGGGUGCGUAGGCGGACAUGUAAGUCAGUGGUGAAAUCCUCCCGCUUAACGGGAGAACUGCCAUUGAAACUGCAUGUCUAGAGUUUGGUUUAGGUAAGCGGAAUACAGCAUGUAGCGGUGAAAUGCUUAGAUAUGCUGUAGAACACCAAUAGCGAAGGCA
This 200-nucleotide ribosomal RNA is filed under the name uncultured bacterium. RNAcentral's name for it is "partial 16S ribosomal RNA". It matches the Rfam family "Bacterial small subunit ribosomal RNA", at positions 524 to 723 of the family's 1533-position model. The record is from RNAcentral.